RNAcentral lists this ribosomal RNA (253 nucleotides) under uncultured bacterium. RNAcentral's name for it is "partial 16S ribosomal RNA". It matches the Rfam family "Bacterial small subunit ribosomal RNA", at positions 524 to 776 of the family's 1533-position model. The record is from RNAcentral.
GACAGAGGUCCCGAGCGUUGUUCGGAUUCAUUGGGCGUAAAGGGUGUGUAGGAGGUCGGGUAAGUCAGGUGUGAAAUCUCAGAGCUUAACUGUGAAACUGCAUUGGAUACUAUCCGGCUCGAGGAAUGGAGGGGAGACUGGAAUACUUGGUGUAGCAGUGAAAUGCGUAGAUAUCAAGUGGAACACCAGUGGCGAAGGCGAGUCUCUGGACAUUUCCUGACGCUGAGGCACGAAAGCCAGGGGAGCAAACGGG